UGUAAGAUGGGAUAUCUAUGACAUUUAAUUUUAAACGUGCGUGAUCUGAUUAUAUCAUCGCGUCUGUUUUUAUGCAAUAUUAAAAGAACCUGGUAAAACCAUGGUUCUUUUUUU
RNAcentral lists this small RNA (114 nucleotides) under Bacillus paralicheniformis. Its description in RNAcentral is "Bacillus sRNA ncr1015". It matches the Rfam family "Bacillus sRNA ncr1015". The record is from RNAcentral. Lineage: Bacteria; Bacillati; Bacillota; Bacilli; Caryophanales; Bacillaceae.